RNAcentral lists this ribosomal RNA (561 nucleotides) under Pseudomonas sp. RNAcentral's name for it is "bacterial SSU rRNA". It matches the Rfam family "Bacterial small subunit ribosomal RNA", at positions 79 to 636 of the family's 1533-position model. Lineage: Bacteria; Pseudomonadati; Pseudomonadota; Gammaproteobacteria; Pseudomonadales; Pseudomonadaceae. The record is from RNAcentral.
CUUGCUUCUCUUGAGAGCGGCGGACGGGUGAGUAAUGCCUAGGAAUCUGCCUGGUAGUGGGGGAUAACGCUCGGAAACGGACGCUAAUACCGCAUACGUCCUACGGGAGAAAGCAGGGGACCUUCGGGCCUUGCGCUAUCAGAUGAGCCUAGGUCGGAUUAGCUAGUUGGUGAGGUAAUGGCUCACCAAGGCGACGAUCCGUAACUGGUCUGAGAGGAUGAUCAGUCACACUGGAACUGAGACACGGUCCAGACUCCUACGGGAGGCAGCAGUGGGGAAUAUUGGACAAUGGGCGAAAGCCUGAUCCAGCCAUGCCGCGUGUGUGAAGAAGGUCUUCGGAUUGUAAAGCACUUUAAGUUGGGAGGAAGGGCAUUAACCUAAUACGUUGGUGUCUUGACGUUACCGACAGAAUAAGCACCGGCUAACUCUGUGCCAGCAGCCGCGGUAAUACAGAGGGUGCAAGCGUUAAUCGGAAUUACUGGGCGUAAAGCGCGCGUAGGUGGUUUGUUAAGUUGGAUGUGAAAUCCCCGGGCUCAACCUGGGAACUGCAUUCAAAACUGA